UACGAAGGGGGCUAGCGUUGCUCGGAAUUACUGGGCGUAAAGCGCACGUAGGCGGAUUGUUAAGUCGGGGGUGAAAUCCUGGAGCUCAACUCCAGAACUGCCUUUGAUACUGGAGAGCUCGAGUCCGGAAGAGGUGAGUGGAACUCCGAGUGUAGAGGUGAAAUUCGUAGAUAUUCGGAAGAACACCAGUGGCGAAGGCGGCUCACUGGUCCGGUACUGACGCUGAUGUGCGAAAGCGUGGGGAGCAAACAGG
RNAcentral lists this ribosomal RNA (253 nucleotides) under uncultured bacterium. RNAcentral's name for it is "partial 16S ribosomal RNA". It matches the Rfam family "Bacterial small subunit ribosomal RNA", at positions 524 to 776 of the family's 1533-position model. The record is from RNAcentral.